GACGAACGCUGGCGGCGUGCUUAACACAUGCAAGUCGAACGGAAAGGCCCCUUUGGGGGUACUCGAGUGGCGCACGGGUGAGUAACACGUGAGUAACCUGCCCUUGACUUCGGGAUAACUUCAGGAAACUGGGGCUAAUACCGGAUAGGAAUCCUUGCUGCAUGGUGGGGGUUGGAAAGCUUCGGCGGUUUUGGAUGGACUCGCGGCUUAUCAGCUUGUUGGUGGGGUAGUGGCUUACCAAGGCUUUGACGGGUAGCCGGCCUGAGAGGGCGACCGGCCACAUUGGGACUGAGAUACGGCCCAGACUCCUACGGGGGGCAGCAGUGGGGAAUAUUGCACAAUGGGCGGAAGCCUGAUGCAGCAACGCCGCGUGCGGGAUGACGGCCUUCGGGUUGUAAACCGCUUUCAGCAGGGGCGAAGCUUUUGUGACGGUACCUGCAGAAGAAGCACCGGCUAACUACGUG
RNAcentral lists this ribosomal RNA (464 nucleotides) under uncultured bacterium. RNAcentral describes it as "partial 16S ribosomal RNA". It matches the Rfam family "Bacterial small subunit ribosomal RNA", at positions 28 to 507 of the family's 1533-position model. The record is from RNAcentral.